Molecule: ribosomal RNA, 253 nt
Filed under: uncultured bacterium
Lineage: Bacteria
Description: partial 16S ribosomal RNA
Rfam family: Bacterial small subunit ribosomal RNA
Source: RNAcentral
UACAGAGGGUGCAAGCGUUAAUCGGAUUUACUGGGCGUAAAGGGCGCGUAGGUGGUUAUUUAAGUUGGAUGUGAAAUCCCUGGGCUUAACCUAGGAACUGCAUACAAGACUGGAUAGCUAGAGUACUGUAGAGGGUAGUGGAAUUUCCGGUGUAGCGGUGAAAUGCGUAGAGAUCGGAAGGAACACCAGUGGCGAAGGCGGCUACCUGGACAGAUACUGACACUGAGGCGCGAGAGCGUGGGGAGCAAACAGG